UCUGAAGAUCCUUCCUUGGUGGAGUUGCUCCCUGUGAACCUGUAGUCUCCUGAUAGGGGAGAGACCAGAGUGUUUUAACUGCCAACAUCCUGACAAAGUUCAUGGGUCCUGGCUAAUCUGGAGCAAAACUCUGAGGAUCACAUUCAGUCUGGUCUCGGGAGGAGGUGCACUUCAAAGAUGCAUUAAAUCUUGUAUAUGUGCUUCUGUACAUGCUGACACAAUUCACUGUAGCCUUUGACAGCUCCUUCAGAUUCUUCAAGAAGCUUAUGGCAGAGAGAUCAAGCAAGGCAUUUGCCAUGUAAAGAAAUGCGGAAGAUAGGAUUCUCUAGAGAGAAGAUCAACGUCCUUUUGAGGAAAGGAGCUCCCCAAAGCGAGAACCUAUGGAUUAUGAACAAGACAUGAGAUGAUUCAGACAGAGUAACUAUCAAAUGGAGAAGGAGCUGUUCAACACUUUCAUAUCUAGUUCCAGUUAUUAGCUCGUGAGCACAACACGGUACCAUACUGUGACUUGGGAUACGAAGGCAAGUUACAGAAAUAAGCAAAUAAACAACAUGUUGUUUCUCAUGCUCUUCAGUGCAUUGGACUGUUAACUUUGAUGUAAGACAGUGGAUCUCAACUUGCAGUAUGUCUAUGGAGUUCCUAAGUGCUAGACAGAAAGUAAAUAAAGAUGUUGCUUCUUAUGAUAUGUAUGUUUAGGUACCAAGACAAAUAUUUACUCUAUCAACCAGGGAACUCUGUUUAAAAGAUCAUCUUCAAGCAUGAAUUACUUCAUUGUGAAAGCAAACCUCCUCUCCACCAUGGCACUGUUAGUACUGUUAUUUCUCACGUGGACUCAGACACAGCAAAACUCUUAAGCAAGCACAUACCAGCAUUUAUUUCUAGUUGUGAAUUUUUAGUAUUCAGAGAUAUUCUGCUUUCUGUGAGCCUUGUCAUUAUCAUUAACAAUGUGCUUAAGCACUUGAUUACUUUGCUCCUCCUCCAAACACUGCAGAGCUCAGUAGGAAAAGUUGCAGAUUGCUCUGAGUGAUCCUAGACUACAUGCAUAACAUCUAACGUUACCUGAGCAUUUUUAUUUCAAGAACCUAUACUUUGCAGCCUAAUAUUUUCAAAGAACACAUUCCUACUUCAGAAUGCAUUCAAGUGUGUUUAUUGUUCCUAUUGAAUUUGAUUAUUUUGGAACGUUUGUGCUUCAGACAGAGAAAUGUACAGUGGAGAUAUGAUGAAUGCUUUUGAGUCUGUGCCCAAAGCAUUUCAUGAAUCAUGAAUGCUUCUACUUCCUCCUGAAUGCUUUAUUUUCUGUAUAGGCUGCCAUAUCAUAUAAAAGAGAAACUUGUUAGUAAGCCUCAUCUACAAAGGGUGCUCUGAAAGUAGUGCCUCCUAUUUUAUUAUUUUGGCACAAUAUCAGAGCUGGAUGUUUGGUGAACGAUAGCAAAGA
Non-coding RNA from Meleagris gallopavo (turkey), 1435 nucleotides. The record is from RefSeq and is a predicted model, not a curated record. NCBI's taxonomy places the organism in Eukaryota, Metazoa, Chordata, Aves, Galliformes, Phasianidae.